UGGCUCAGUGGUAGAGUGCAUGCCUUGCACGUAUGAGGCCCUGGGUUCAAUUCCUCAG
RNAcentral lists this transfer RNA (58 nucleotides) under Dipodomys ordii (Ord's kangaroo rat). It matches the Rfam family "tRNA", at positions 8 to 63 of the family's 71-position model. From Rfam's summary of the family: Transfer RNA (tRNA) molecules are approximately 80 nucleotides in length. Their secondary structure includes four short double-helical elements and three loops (D, anti-codon, and T loops). Further hydrogen bonds mediate the characteristic L-shaped molecular structure. tRNAs have two regions of fundamental functional importance: the anti-codon, which is responsible for specific mRNA codon recognition, and the 3' end, to which the tRNAs corresponding amino acid is attached (by aminoacyl-tRNA synthetases). tRNAs cope with the degeneracy of the genetic code in two manners: having more than one tRNA (with a specific anti-codon) for a particular amino acid; and 'wobble' base-pairing, i.e. permitting non-standard base-pairing at the 3rd anti-codon position. Lineage: Eukaryota; Metazoa; Chordata; Mammalia; Rodentia; Heteromyidae. The record is from Rfam by way of RNAcentral.